CCACAUAAGCAGGUGAAACUUCUUAGAGGAACUGGCGCCCGAAAAGGCGCACGAGAAAGAGCAAUAACAGGUCUGUGAUGCCCUAAGAUGUCCGGGGCCGCACGCGUGCUACAAUGACGAUGCUACUGAGCAUGAUUAACUUGUCCGAAAGGAUUGGUGAAACUGUUCAAUCAUCGUCGUGACUGGGAUUGGGGUUUGCAAUUAUCCCCCAUGAACCAGGAAUUCCUAGUAAGCACAAGUCAUAAGCUUGUGCUGAUUACGUCCCUGCCCUUUGUACACACCGCCCGUCGCUACUACCGAUUGAAUGGUUUAGCAAGGACAUUGGAUUGAGCCCUUGCGGUUUCGGCUGCUUGGGUUUGAGAAGAUGUCCGAACUUGAUCAUUUAGAGGAAGUAAAAGUCGUAACAAGGUUUCCGUAGGUGAACCUGCGGAAGGAUCAUUA
RNAcentral lists this ribosomal RNA (441 nucleotides) under Dactylogyrus erhardovae. Its description in RNAcentral is "SSU rRNA". It matches the Rfam family "Eukaryotic small subunit ribosomal RNA", at positions 1389 to 1831 of the family's 1831-position model. Lineage: Eukaryota; Metazoa; Platyhelminthes; Monogenea; Dactylogyridea; Dactylogyridae. The record is from RNAcentral.